Molecule: ribosomal RNA, 253 nt
Filed under: uncultured bacterium
Lineage: Bacteria
Description: partial 16S ribosomal RNA
Rfam family: Bacterial small subunit ribosomal RNA
Source: RNAcentral
UACGUAGGUGGCAAGCGUUGUCCGGAUUUAUUGGGUUUAAAGGGUGCGUAGGCGGUCUAUUAAGUCAGUGCUGAAAUAUCCCGGCUUAACCGGGAGGGUGGCAUUGAUACUGAUGGACUUGAGUGCAGUCGAGGUAGGCGGAAUUGACGGUGUAGCGGUGAAAUGCUUAGAUAUCGUCAAGAACACCGAUAGCGAAGGCAGCUUACUGGGCUGUAACUGACGCUGAUGCACGAAAGUGUGGGGAUCAAACAGG